Long non-coding RNA from Chiroxiphia lanceolata (lance-tailed manakin), 1056 nucleotides. RefSeq lists it as uncharacterized. NCBI's taxonomy places the organism in Eukaryota, Metazoa, Chordata, Aves, Passeriformes, Pipridae. The transcript is spliced from 3 exons. The record is from RefSeq and is a predicted model, not a curated record.
UGCCUGAGGGGGCGGCCGUGGCGAGGGGGCGGCGGUGUGGGGGGAUCGCGGCGCUGCCCCAGUGGGAGCCUCGGGAACGGGGUCUGCCCCCUCCCAACUGAGAACCACAGCACGGGCCAGGCUGGAAGGGACCACAGAGGGUCAUCUGGUGCAACCUCCCUGCUCAAGCAGGAUUAUCCCAGAGCACAGCAUUGCGUCUGAAUACCUCCAGCGAGGAAGACUCCACACCCUCUCUGGGCAACCUGUUCCGUUGGGCUUCCACAGCUGUGUGAAAUCCACUCCUCCCUCUGGCCCAGCAUGGAAAGGAAGGCAAGCCAAAGGAAGAAUGACCCAAACCAAGCUGCUGAAGGGCUACUAAUGUGCACAUAUGGUCUGUCUUGACAGCACUCUUCCCACUGACCAUAAAGGUACCUGGGAUGGCCUCAUUAUUCUAAAAUUAGAUCUAAGACAUGUUUUAAUGGACAACAUGGAGUGGGAAGCUGAGAAAUAAUGCUUCAGAUUAACAUCAUGAACAUCCUCACGCAGCCAUGCUGAGCCCAAAAUAGGAGCAUGUAAUUGUUCACAAGUAUUACAGUCAUGGAGCAGAACAAAAUGUUACUAAUAAAGUGUUCAGAUAAUGUGUGUUUCCUUAAGCAAGUAAUUAAGCCUGGGCCAGGACAUCAGAACAGUCCUGACUGCUAAAAUCUUUUGCUGCCAUAAGCUCCACACAUAGAAACAACAUUCUUGUGGAAUCUUUCAGCUAUCUGGUAGGUGUGAUCUCAGCUGAAUAACACCUACAGGGAGAGACAAAUCAUGCCCCUUCUUCUGGCCACCCCAAACUACAGCUCAUGAGCCACAACUCUUACCUAGGAAAGUGCCAAUGAAAAACACUUUCAAUGGCACAUUGAUUACAGGAGAUGUUAUAUUGAUAAACCAAUUGGGAAGAAAAGGUGUUAUUCUCAAAAAUAUUAUGUAGUUAAUGAGGUGUUCUCUGUGUCGUUCAACCUGCCAAAACAAAAACAACAAAAAAAUUAGUAAAGAAAAUCCCUGCCUUGAAAAUACAAAAGGAUUUUACUA